GUUCCUAUGGUCUAGUGGUUAUGACGCUUCGUUGUGGUUCCGAAGCAGCCCGUGUUCGAUUCACGGUGGGGACA
RNAcentral lists this transfer RNA (74 nucleotides) under Rhizoctonia solani AG-1 IB. RNAcentral describes it as "tRNA-His". It matches the Rfam family "tRNA". Rfam says of the family: Transfer RNA (tRNA) molecules are approximately 80 nucleotides in length. Lineage: Eukaryota; Fungi; Basidiomycota; Agaricomycetes; Cantharellales; Ceratobasidiaceae. The record is from RNAcentral.